GAAAAAUUUAGGCACAUGAAAGAGGGAAACGAACAGCCUUUUCCAAUUGCAUUCCAGUCUCCUUUUCCACUCUCCAGACCUGAGAACACAUUCCAAUCCAGAAUUUAUCCCUAAAACCUACUCCAAUCCGGAAUUAAUCUCCAAAAACCACUACUCUACUAGUCUACCACUGCAAAAGUUCCAGCGAAAUCCAGAGGUUGGGCUGCUGCGGCACGUUCGCACACAGAGAGUUUGCAUUUCACAAACGGCUAAGGUCUUACAAAUUCGGAGGUUGGUUUCCAUGUAUUUUAGCAAAUUGAAAACCCUUGAAAAUCUUUCCAUGACUUUCGUUUUUAUUAGGGUUUUAAGAUUAAAAUAUCUGAAAUCUUCUUCACAUAAAUAAAGCAAUAAAAAUCCUAACAAGAAUUAAACAACUAAAGCCAUCACCUCAAAAUCUCUAAAUUUCAAUUUCUCAAUUCGAAAAUCAUGAGCAUAGUACAGAUUUACAUAUUGCAGUCGAUGUCGAUAUACCUGUGUUUGUGUAUGUUGUGAUAAAAAUUAAAAUUUAAAAAGUACUUGACUGAGAAUCAGAAAUGGGUUUUGCUUAAUUUGAAGAAGGGUCUCUUGAUCUGCAAUUUUGCAACAAAUUUGAAGUAAAAAGAAAAAAAGAAAAAGAACUAAUGAGUGAUGAAUGCAAGCUUGGACUCGAACACUACGGAUUGCAGAAACUAGACUUCAGUUUUUAGUCUUCUGGUUGCAAUAAUUUUAGGAAUUUUUCAAUAAGUAAUAUUAUAUUAAGUAGUAGGGAUAAGGGAUGAUAUGUGGGGUCCGGGGUCUCAAGAGAUUUUGGGAAAAUACAUAAUAUACAUUUUUGUGUUUUAUGCUUGGAAUGGUGAUAAAUGUGUUCACAGAAAAGUGUAAUUCCAUAUUAACAACUCCUCCAAAUGAUAUAAAAGUAUGACUACAUAUGAUGAGAAUGUGAUAUUAUUUUACAUUUUUUUGUUUUGUAAAAUUGUUAGCCAACAAAAACUGAUUAAAUUUUUUUAUUCAGUUUGAAUAAAUUGAAGCUUAUUUCACAUUUUUCCGUUUCUUGAAGUUAUUGCACGUUGAGGUUAAGAUCCAAAAAUGCAUUUUUAUUUUUUAAAAGUUUAUUCUCUCCUUUUUCUGAGUGUGUGAUCUAUUCUCUCUUUGUUUUGUUUAUUUCUUGGUGGCAGCAGAAUUGCCUGAUAAUCGGACUCUUCGUUUUCGACUGCAACCCAGAACAGUCGCAUUGUCUACUUCAAUCACCACGCAACCACCAUUACCACCAAUUUCUGAAUCCUUUCAUUUUGGGGACUCAUCAAUCAGGUUUUAUCGCUCUUUGUUGAUGAUUAUGUCUACAAGAAAAUUUGAAUCAGGAUGUACCAAAAGGAAAAGGUUGAAAAGUUGAUUAAAUCUCAAGAGGGAGCAUUUGAUAAGUUUUUUAAUAGUAGUAAAUGAACACCUAAUGAAGACGUAGUUACUAAAGAAGUAUUUAAUGAGGAUGAUAACAGAAAUAAUAUAAUUGAGGAAGAACAUUAUGUGAUGAAUGAAGAGGUAUCUCCUGACAGAGAUAAUGAACCAUUUUCUCUUGAGCUUAUUGAUCCAACAAAUUGGGGAAAUAUGAAUAGGAAUUAGAGAUUUAAUUGUAAUGAAAGGUCCUAUAAGAGAAAAUGAUAUGCUUUUUCCGAAAGAUAGAGCAAAUCGACACUUCUCAUACACACAUUACGUUCGACGAUUACGUAAUGGAGAGAAACAUGAUAAAAAAUGGUUGAUAUAUUCAAAAAGUUUGGAUAAAGUAUUUUGUUUUUGUUGUAAGCUAUUCAAUAAUGAUGGGAUCAGACUUCAAUUGGCACAUGAUGGAGUAAAUGAUUGGAAAAAUAUUAACGAAAAACUUAAAAUGCAUGAAGUAAGUUGUGACCACAUCAAUAACAUGAGUAAAUGGAUAGAAAUGAAAUUAAGAUUCGAAAAGAGUAAAACAAUUGAUAAAAGUGUGCAAGAACAAAUCAAUAGGGAUAGAGAACAUUGGAGACAAGUAUUACUGAGAAUAAUAUCUGUGGUGAAAACUCUUGCUGAAAAUAAUUUAGCAUAUCGUGGGAAUAAUGAGAAGAUAUAUCAAGAAAAUAAUAGUAUCUUCUUAAGUAUGAUUCAAAUGAUUGCUGAGUUCGAUCCCGUAAUGCAAGAGCAUGUUGGUUGAAUAAAAAAUAAAGAGAUUCAUUAUCAUUAUUUGGAUACAAGAUUCAGAUGAGUUGAUACUUAUGCUAGCGGGUGAGAUAAAAAAAGUAAUCAUUGAGAAGCUAAAAAAUUCUAAAUAUUUUUCUGUUAUACUUGAUUGCACUCUAAAUACAAGUCACGAAGAACAAAUGUCUAUAAUAUUGAGGUGUGUAGAUAUUUCGAUGAGUCCAGUGAAUGUUGAAGAAUUGUUUUUAGGGUUUUUAUUGUUGGAUGAUACAUUAGGUAAGAAACUUUUUGAUAAACCGGUGGAUGUUUUGAAUAAUCUAGAACUUGAUAUUGACAAUGUAAGGGGUCAAGAUUAUGAUAAUGGUGCUAACAUGAAAGGACAAUAUAAAGGAGUUCAAAGUAGACUAUUACAACUAAAUCCUAGAAGAUUCUAUUGUCCUUGUGGAUGUUAUAGUCUUAAUCUUGCACUUUGUGAUAUGGCCACUUGUUGUUCAAAAGCUAAAUCUUUCUAUGGGUCGGUGCAACGUAUAUACACUUUAGUUUCUUCAUCUACUAAACGGUGGAAAAUUUUCAAAGAAAAUGUAACUGGUCUUACCCUUAAGCCCUUGUCACAAUCUCGUUGGGAAAGCUAUAUUGAAAGUGUUAGAGCAAUAAGAUUUCAAACUUCACAGAUAAAAAAAGUAUUAUUUCAAUUAGCAAAUGUUGAUGAUCCUAAGACAAAAAGUGAGGCAGAGUGUUUGGUAACAUAUGAAAUUAACAAAUUUGUAUUCUUGCUUGGGAUGAUUAUUUGGUAUGAGGUGUUGAAUAAUGUUAACAAAGUAAGCAAACAUUUGCAAGAAGAAGACAUGCAUAUUGAUGUUGCCAUAGAUCAUUUAAAAGGCCUCAUUUCAUUUUUCAAAAGUUAUAGAGAAUCUGGUUUUGAAUCGACCAUGGUUGAUGCUAAAGAAAUUGUAAGUGAAUUAGAAAUUGAACCGAAAUUUUGUAAAAGUUAUACAUAGAAAAAAGCAGUUUGAUGAGAUUUCUUCUAAAGAGAUAAUAUAAACAGCUGAAGAAUCUUUUAAGAUCAAUUAUUUCAUAUAUAUAUAUAUAUAUAUAGUGGAUCAAGCUCUAUCAUCACUUCAGAAUAGAUUUGAGCAAUUUCAGAAAUAUGAUAAUACUUUUGGAUUUUUAUUUGAUUUGAAAAGACUUAAAUCUGUUGAUGAUGAUGUUUUGAGGUGUUCUUGCAUUAAACUUGAAAAUUACUUGAAGCAUAAUACAAUUUCUGAUAUUGCUGGAAUAUAAUUAUUUUCUGAGUUGAAAGUUUUAAGGGCAGUGAUACUUGCAAACAUUUUUGGAGCAAUUGAUGUAUUGGAUUAUAUUAAGAGAAUGAACAGUUGUUUUGCAAAUUCCUACAUUGCUUAUAGAGUAUUAUUGAAUAUUCUUGUAACGGUUGUCUUUGCUGAAAGAAGUUUUUCAAAGUUGAAGUUGGUUAAAUCUUAUCUUCGAUCAUCCAUGUCACAAGAGCGAUUGAAUGUAUUAGCUAUGAUUUCUAUUGAAAAAAAUAUGUUGCAAAAACUUGAUGUUAGUAGUUUGAUUACUAAUUUUACAUCUCAAAAUGUGAGAAAGUUAAAUCUUAUGCUAGCCUAAUCUUUCGGGUUGUGAAAGAAGUUUUAUUUUGUUAUUCUAUCUUUUGAAUUGUAUAACGUUUUCUUUCUAAUGUAAAAGUGUUAAUUAUUCAAAUAUUUACAUAUUGUUAGACUUGUAAAAUAAAUUUUGUGUUGAGGGGGCCCCAUAAUAAUUAAACGCCUAGGGUCUCUAAAUUCUCAGGGCCGGCCUUG
RNAcentral lists this long non-coding RNA (3995 nucleotides) under Olea europaea subsp. europaea. Lineage: Eukaryota; Viridiplantae; Streptophyta; Magnoliopsida; Lamiales; Oleaceae. The record is from RNAcentral.